RNAcentral lists this ribosomal RNA (255 nucleotides) under uncultured bacterium. RNAcentral's name for it is "partial 16S ribosomal RNA". It matches the Rfam family "Bacterial small subunit ribosomal RNA", at positions 524 to 776 of the family's 1533-position model. The record is from RNAcentral.
UACGUAGGGGGGCAAGCGUUGUCCGGAUUUAUUGGGCGUAAAGAGCGUGUAGGCGGUUUGUCGCGUCGGGAGUGAAAACCUCGGGCUUAACUCGGGGCUUGCUUUCGAUACGGGCAGACUAGAGGGUAUGCAGGGGAGAACGGAAUUCCUGGUGUAGCGGUGAAAUGCGCAGAUAUCAGGAGGAACACCGGUGGCGAAGGCGGUUCUCUGGGCAUGAUCUGACGCUGAGGAGCGAAAGUGUGGGGAGCGAACAGG